UUAUCUUCCGUAUAAGCUUUGGAAGCAGUUUAGUGACAAUGGUACUCUUGUCUUUUUCUUGAUUUUAAAAGGAGUGAUUUCGAUAUUUUUAAUCACAAAACAUGAUAGGUGCUGUAGGUUAUUUGUUGACUCCUUUUAUCAGGUUAAGGAAAUUACCCUUUAUUCAUAGGUGGAAAUAUCAUGAAUUAUUUAAUUUUUGUAAAAUAAUUUUAUAGGCCUUUUGAGACAAUCAUAUAACUUUUGUCUUUAAUUCAUUGAUAAGGAGAUGAUUUCAGUAGAUUUUCUAACAUUGAACUAAAUUUGUAUUACUAACCGAGCUUGUUCAUGGUUUUUAUACUUUGCUAGGUAUACUUCCUAGUAUUUUGUUUACAAUAUUUGUCUCUGUGUGCAUGGAUGAGGUACACAAUAGCAAGGUUACCCUAGUCUCAAAUGAAUUGAAGAAUGGCCUCUUUUUUCUCCCCUCGCAAAUAAUUAGUGUAACAUUGGAACUACUUGUGACAUCAUCUGGGCAUCCUGUUUUCUUUGUAGAAUUAUUAAUUAUCAACUCAAUUACUUUAAUGGUAUGAUUUCCAUCCAGAUUUUCUAAUUAUUUGAGUCAACUUUAAUAAGUUAAAUGUAUCCAAAAAUUUGUUAAUCUCACUUAUUUACAAAUGCAUAUAUUUAAUUGUCUUAUUACUUAAUGAAAUAGAUCAUAAAUAUAAAAGUGUGUAUGUACAGCUUAAGAAGAAUAUAAAAUGAGCAUAUGUGUCCUUCCUUCAGGUUAUGAAAUAGAAUAUUUCCAGUAUCUUAGAAACUCCCAUUGCCCUUCUACAAUGCCACUCACUCCUUCCACAAGAGGUAACCACUAUCCCUAACUUCCUGUUAAUCAUUCCAUUGCUUGUCAUUACAGACUUGUAUAUUGUUUAGUUUUGCACAUUUGACUUUUUAAAUAAGUGAAACUAUGUAUUGUUUCUUAUGAUCAGAUAUGCAUACACACAAACAUGUAUAUGUAUGUAUAUAUACACACAUACACACAUUAUUUUUAAGAGCAGUUCAAAGUUCACAGCAAAACUGAGCAGCAGGUAUAGAUUUCCCAUAUACUCCCUGUCCCCCACACAUGCAUAGCCUCCCCCAUAAUAAACAUCCCCCACCAGAGUGGUGCAUUUGUUACAAUUAAAGAACCUACAUGAUACAUCUUAUAGUUUGCAUUAAGGUUCACACUUGGGCUUGGACAAAUUUACAAUGACAAGUAUUCACUAUUAAAAUAUCAUACACGUACUUUCACUGCCUUAAGCAUCCUCUGUGCUCUGGUUAUUCAUCCCUCUCUUCCUCCUAACUCCUGGGAACCACUGAUUUUUUUUUCUAUUUCUAUAGUAUUACCUUUUCCAGAAGGUCAUAAAGUUGGAAGUGACAUAUGUGGCCUUUUUAGAUUGGCUUCUUUCAUUCUGCAGUAUGCAUGUAAGCUUCCACUGUGUCUUUUCAUGGCUUGACAGCCAUUUAUUUUAUCAUUGAAUGGUAUUCAGUUGUCUGGAUGUAAUACAGUUUGUUUAAUUAUUCACCUACUGAAGGUAAUCUUGCUUGUCUCCAAAUUUUUGCAAUUAUAAAUAAAACGUCCAUAAACAUCUGUGUGCAGGUUUCUGUGUGGACAUAAGUUUUCAACUCCUUUGGGUAUAUACCAAGAAACAAGAUUGCGGGGUCGUAUAAUAAGAGUAGAUUUAGUUUUCUAAGAUGCCACAAAACUAUUCUCCAUUUUGUAUUUCCAUCAGCACUGAAUGAGAGUUCCUGUUGCUUCACAUCCUCAUCAGCAUUUGGUGUUGUCAGAGUUCUGGAUUUUUGCCAUUCUAAUAUGCAUGCAGUAGUAUCUCAUUGCAGUGCUGUGUUUGAGAAUGUGAGUAGCUGCAGUUCAUUCACUCUUAGUGCUGCGAGGUACUCUAUUAUUGGAAUAUAUGAUCAUUUAGUUACCUAUUCCACAAUCUACCCAUAUUGAGAGAUAACUGGAUUGUUUCCAGGUUUUUAAAAUUGUGAACAUUCUCAUAUAUCCCUAGGUAAACAAAUGCAAGAAUUUUUCUGGGGCCUGUAACAGGCUGACUAGAUUGCACUAGGUUGUAGUGAAGCCGCUGGGUCAGAGGGUACAUGCAUGAUCAGCUGUAUGAGCUAACAUCCGUUUUCCAAAUGGCUGUCCUUCUACUUGCAUGGGAUGAAUGCUUCCACGGUUCUUUAUCCUUGCCAAUACUACACCUUUCAGAACUUCCAAAAAAUUUUGUCAAUAUGUGUGAAAGGGUAUCUAAUUGUUAAUUUUCAUUUUCAUGAUUAUUAUUAGGUUGAGCACUUUUUCACAUGCUUAUGGGCUAUUUAUGCUAACUUCUUGAGGUGUUAUUUUUCACUUAUUAAUUUAUAGGAGAGCUUUAUAUAUUCUGGAUACUAAACCUGUCUAGGUAACAUGUGUUGCAAAUAUCUCUGCCAAGUUUUGCAUAUUUUUUUCUCAUUGCGGUAUCCAAUAAACAGAAGUCUUAAAUUUUUAUGUGAUCAAGUUAGUUUUUACUCUUGCCGUUUGUUCUUCUUCCCUAUGUAAAGAUAAAAGAGAUGCUCCACAGUUUUUUUCUAAGAAUGUUGAGAAGGUAUCUUUAUCCAUUAAAAUAUAUUUUUAGGUUUGGUCUAUGGGAUUAAGUUUCAAUUUCCUUUUUUCCCCCUUAUGGAGACCAGUGGUCCCAGUGUUGCUUAUUGUAAAAUUUACUAUCUUCACUUAACCACAAUAAAAGCUGUGUUACAAAAUAUGUUUCCAAGUAUGUGUGAAAAAUAUAUUUAUCUUUAUGAUUCUACUCAGAUUAAUUAGCUCUCAGGACUGCUGUGUCCAGAGUUGAUUCCUUCUGGUGGGUUCGUGGUGUUGCUGACUUGAAGAAUGAAGCCGCCGACCUUCACGAGCGCUGAUUGGUGUGUUUUACAGAGCAUGGAUUGGUGCGUUUUACAGAGCGCUGAUUGGUACAUUUCACAGAACUCGUGAGACAGUCGCAGGUGGCAUGAUUUGAUUUGUGUGAAGGCAAUGAAAUGAUACACAGAUACACCGAAGCCUCCCAAAAGAAUCCUGGUUCCAAGAUUCAAGAAGAUGGAUUAAUGUUUUUCCAUUAAUUGUUGGAAUUUAUGCCAUUUUUUUACUAUGUGCCAUCAAUUUUAAAGCACUUCUGAAAAGAGAUAACAAUCUACAAUAGCUGGCAUUUUAAAUUCAUAAAAAUAUAGUAUUUUCUUCUAUUUUUAUACAUUUAUGAUGCAUUAUUUCUUAUUUCCCAGGAAUUUUACUACCUUUGUUUUGAAUGAUUAAAAAGGAAACAUAGCACCUUUUUUCAACACAUCACCAAGAUAGCCUAGUUAAUAUUCUUCUCUUUCUGAAGUAGUUGAAUUGGGAGAGACAGCUUGCCAGGCCUGCUGCCACUUGUCAGCAUCGCAUCCCUACAUUCAACCACACUUGCAUCUAACGACCGUCUCUUUCAUUAAAUUUCUUUUGCACCUUUUCUUCCUGAAUGAGUGCAUGAUAGUUAAUUUUCCUGUGCACUUGCAUGUCUCAAGAAGGUUUUAAUUCUUUUUGUAUUGCAUUAAUAUUUAAGUUAAGUUUAUAAUUGCAAAAUGAUUUAUACUCACAA
Molecule: long non-coding RNA, 3614 nt
Organism: Homo sapiens (human)
Lineage: Eukaryota; Metazoa; Chordata; Mammalia; Primates; Hominidae
Source: Ensembl